GAUGAACGCUGGCGGCGUGGAUAAGGCAUGCAAGUCGAGUGGGUUUAGGCCCACGGCAAACGGGUUCGGAAUACAUAGGAAUUUUCCUCAGAGUCGUGAAUAAUUCGGAGAAAUCCGAGCUAAUACACGAUACGCUCUACGGAGUAAAGAUUUAUCGCUUUGAGAUGAGCCUGUGUCCUAUCAGCUUGUUGGUGAGGUAAAAGCCCACCAAGGCUAUGACGGGUAGGGGGUGUGAGAGCAUGACCCCACAUUGGAACUGAGACACUGUCCAAACACCUACGGGUGGCUGCAGUCGAGAAUAUUCCACAAUGGACGAAAGUCUGAUGGAGCGACGCCGCGUGUGGGAUGAAGGCCUUCGGGUUGUAACCAACUUUUUUCUAGGGAGGCAAUUUCGAUGAGAGUACCUGAAGAAUAAGAGGUUACU
Molecule: ribosomal RNA, 424 nt
Filed under: uncultured bacterium
Lineage: Bacteria
Description: bacterial SSU rRNA
Rfam family: Bacterial small subunit ribosomal RNA
Source: RNAcentral